Molecule: ribosomal RNA, 404 nt
Filed under: uncultured Paracoccaceae bacterium
Lineage: Bacteria; Pseudomonadati; Pseudomonadota; Alphaproteobacteria; Rhodobacterales; Paracoccaceae
Description: bacterial SSU rRNA
Rfam family: Bacterial small subunit ribosomal RNA
Source: RNAcentral
UGGGGAAUCUUAGACAAUGGGGGGAACCCUGAUCUAGCCAUGCCGCGUGAGCGAUGAAGGCCUUAGGGUUGUAAAGCUCUUUCAGUGGGGAAGAUAAUGACGGUACCCACAGAAGAAGCCCCGGCUAACUCCGUGCCAGCAGCCGCGGUAAUACGGAGGGGGCUAGCGUUGUUCGGAAUUACUGGGCGUAAAGCGCACGUAGGCGGAUUGGAAAGUCAGAGGUGAAAUCCCAGGGCUCAACCCUGGAACUGCCUUUGAAACUCCCGGUCUUGAGGUCGAGAGAGGUGAGUGGAAUUCCGAGUGUAGAGGUGAAAUUCGUAGAUAUUCGGAGGAACACCAGUGGCGAAGGCGGCUCACUGGCUCGAUACUGACGCUGAGGUGCGAAAGCGUGGGGAGCAAACAGG